This 414-nucleotide ribosomal RNA is filed under the name uncultured bacterium. Its description in RNAcentral is "bacterial SSU rRNA". It matches the Rfam family "Bacterial small subunit ribosomal RNA", at positions 355 to 786 of the family's 1533-position model. The record is from RNAcentral.
UCGGGAAUAUUGCGCAAUGGAGGAAACUCUGACGCAGUGACGCCGCGUAUAGGAAGAAGGUUUUCGGAUUGUAAACUAUUGUCGUUAGGGAAGAGAAAGGACAGUACCUAAGGAGGAAGCUCCGGCUAACUACGUGCCAGCAGCCGCGGUAAUACGUAGGGAGCGAGCGUUAUCCGGAAUUAUUGGGUGUAAAGGGUGCGUAGACGGGAGAACAAGUUAGUUGUGAAAUACCUCGGCUCAACUGAGGAACUGCAACUAAAACUGUACUUCUUGAGUGCAGGAGAGGUAAGUGGAAUUCCUAGUGUAGCGGUGAAAUGCGUAGAUAUUAGGAGGAACACCAGUGGCGAAGGCGACUUACUGGACUGUAACUGACGUUGAGGCACGAAAGUGUGGGGAGCAACAGGAUUAGAUUCC